RNAcentral lists this ribosomal RNA (303 nucleotides) under uncultured bacterium. RNAcentral's name for it is "partial 16S ribosomal RNA". It matches the Rfam family "Bacterial small subunit ribosomal RNA", at positions 507 to 807 of the family's 1533-position model. The record is from RNAcentral.
AGCAGUAGCCACGGUAAUACGUAGGGUGCAAGCGUUAAUCGGAAUUACUGGGCGUAAAGCGUGCGCAGGCGGUUUGUUAAGACAGAUGUGAAAUCCCCGGGCUCAACCUGGGAACUGCAUUUGUGACUGGCAAGCUAGAGUAUGGCAGAGGGGGGUGGAAUUCCGCGUGUAGCAGUGAAAUGCGUAGAUAUUCGCAAGAACACCAGUGGCGAAGGCGGCUCACUGGCCCGAUACUGACGCUGAGGUGCGAAAGCGUGGGGAGCAAACAGGAUUAGAUACCCCGGUAGUCCCUGUCUCUUAUAC